GAUGAACGCUGGCGGCGUGCCUAAUACAUGCAAGUCGAGCGAACAGACGAGGAGCUUGCUCCUCUGACGUUAGCGGCGGACGGGUGAGUAACACGUGGAUAACCUACCUAUAAGACUGGGAUAACUUCGGGAAACCGGAGCUAAUACCGGAUAAUAUAUUGAACCGCAUGGUUCAAUAGUGAAAGACGGUUUUGCUGUCACUUAUAGAUGGAUCCGCGCCGCAUUAGCUAGUUGGUAAGGUAACGGCUUACCAAGGCAACGAUGCGUAGCCGAGCUGAGAGGGUGAUCGGCCACACUGGAACUGAACCACGGUCCAGACUCCUACGGGAGGCAGCAGUAGGGAAUCUUCCGCAAAGGGCGAAAGCCUGACGGAGCAACGCCGCGUGAGUGAUGAAGGUCUUCGGAUCGUAAAACUCUGUUAUUAGGGAAGAACAAAUGUGUAAGUAACUAUGCACGUCUUGACGGUACCUAAUCAGAAAGCCACGGCUAACUACGUG
Molecule: ribosomal RNA, 497 nt
Filed under: uncultured bacterium
Lineage: Bacteria
Description: partial 16S ribosomal RNA
Rfam family: Bacterial small subunit ribosomal RNA
Source: RNAcentral